Molecule: ribosomal RNA, 253 nt
Filed under: uncultured bacterium
Lineage: Bacteria
Description: partial 16S ribosomal RNA
Rfam family: Bacterial small subunit ribosomal RNA
Source: RNAcentral
UACAGAGGGUGCGAGCGUUGUUCGGAAUUACUGGGCGUAAAGGGCUCGUAGGCGGCCAACUAAGUCAUACGUGAAAUCCCUCAGCUUAACUGGGGAACUGCGUGUGAUACUGGAUGGCUUGGAUUUGGGAGAGGGAUGCGGAAUUCCAGGUGUAGCGGUGAAAUGCGUAGAUAUCUGGAGGAACACCGGUGGCGAAGGCAGUAUCCUGGACCAAUAUUGACGCUGAGGAGCGAAAGCUAGGGGAGCAAACGGG